RNAcentral lists this ribosomal RNA (264 nucleotides) under Carrhotus sp. Sal_279. RNAcentral describes it as "partial large subunit ribosomal RNA". The record is from RNAcentral. Lineage: Eukaryota; Metazoa; Arthropoda; Arachnida; Araneae; Salticidae.
GGGCCGUCCCGUUGCGGGGCUUCUGUCGUUCCAGACGCAUUUGUCUCUCGUCCGAAGGACGCUGCAGCCGGUUUGGAAGUGCAAGCGCGGCGGCCUGAAGGUCGGGUAAUGGCAGGUGGCCGGCGGCUCGCCUUGUGCGGGUUGUCGGUUGUUAGCCGUCCCGUCAGUGGCUCGUCUCCAAACCGAGGUGUCGGGAGUCCCGUCUGGGACUCUUCGUCUCCCCCCCCCCGGUUGCGGGACUGGUCGUGGCAAGGGCUCCGUAUU